UACAGUGGCUACGGGUAGUAACACGUGGGUAAUCUACCUCUUAGUGGGGGAUAUCUCUGGGAAACCGGAGUUAAUACCGCAUAAGUUCGGAAGAAGAAAGCAGCAAUGCGCUGAGAGAGGAGCCCGCGGCCGAUUAGCUAGUUGGUGGGGUAAAGGCUCACCAAGGCAGAGAUCGGUAGCCGGCCUGAGAGGGCACACGGCCACACUGGCACUGAAAUACGGGCCAG
RNAcentral lists this ribosomal RNA (227 nucleotides) under uncultured bacterium. RNAcentral describes it as "partial 16S ribosomal RNA". It matches the Rfam family "Bacterial small subunit ribosomal RNA", at positions 102 to 334 of the family's 1533-position model. The record is from RNAcentral.